This 253-nucleotide ribosomal RNA is filed under the name uncultured bacterium. RNAcentral describes it as "partial 16S ribosomal RNA". It matches the Rfam family "Bacterial small subunit ribosomal RNA", at positions 524 to 776 of the family's 1533-position model. The record is from RNAcentral.
UACGUAGGCAGCAAGCGUUGUUCGGAAUUACUGGGCGUAAAGAGUGUGUAGGCGGUGCUCUAAGUUAGGGGUGAAAUCUCCCGGCUUAACUGGGAGGGUGCGCCGGAAACUGGAGUGCUCGAGCGUGGGAGAGGAAAGCGGAAUUCCUGGUGUAGCGGUGAAAUGCGUAGAUAUCAGGAGGAACACCUGCGGUGUAGACGGCUUUCUGGACCAUUGCUGACGCUGAGACACGAAAGCGUGGGUAGCAAACAGG